RNAcentral lists this small nuclear RNA (18 nucleotides) under Arabidopsis thaliana (thale cress). Its description in RNAcentral is "snRNA_07572". The record is from RNAcentral. Lineage: Eukaryota; Viridiplantae; Streptophyta; Magnoliopsida; Brassicales; Brassicaceae.
AUGCUAACGCAAUGUGAU